AGUGAACGCUGGCGGUAGGCCUAACACAUGCAAGUCGAACGGCAGCACAGUAAGAGCUUGCUCUUACGGGUGGCGAGUGGCGGACGGGUGAGGAAUACAGCGGAAUCUACUUUUUCGUGGGGGAUAACGUGGGGAAACUAACGCAAAUACCGCAUACGCCCUACGGGGGAAAGCGGGGGCCCUCGGGACCUGGGGGGUUGGAAUGAGCCGAUGUCGGUUUAGCUAGUGGGGGGGGUCAAGGCCCACCAAGUCGAGGAUCCGUAGCUGGUGUGAGAGGAUGGUCAGCCACACUGGAGCGGAGCCACGGUCAAGAGUCCUACGAGAGGGAGCAGUGGGGAAUAGUGGACAACGGGCGGAAGCCUGAUCCAGCCAUAGCGCGUGGGUGAAGAAGGCGUUCGGGUUGUAAAGCCCUUUUGUUGGGAAAGAAAAGCAGCAGGUUAAUACCCAGCUGUUCCGACGGUACCAAAAGAAGAAGCACCGGCUAACUUCGUG
Molecule: ribosomal RNA, 492 nt
Filed under: uncultured bacterium
Lineage: Bacteria
Description: partial 16S ribosomal RNA
Rfam family: Bacterial small subunit ribosomal RNA
Source: RNAcentral